UUUAUAUUAUAUCAUUUACGCCUUUCUUUAAUUAUCUAAACCUGUUAAAUUUCAUCAAUCUACUUUAUUCCAAUUCCUUAAUAAAUUCACCCCGAGAAAGAAAAAAGAAAAGCUCGAUUCGAACAUUUCUCGAAACCGAUACCGAUACUGCCAAUACUUUUAUAUUCGUCUAACUUUAUAUAAUUUGAACUUGUCAGUCACAAAUAGGUAUAAGAAAGAAGAGAAAGCGGAACACUUCGUGCAAGACGUGUUUUAUAACACUUGCAGUCAUUUAUCUUAAUUUUUCGACAUUUUUAUUUAUUUUCCUUUUCUUUUUUUUUUUUUCACACUCUAAGUAAUCUAGAUUAAUUUUACCUCUUCUAAAAUUUCAAUCGUAAAACCAACCAACCAACCAACCCUCUUCGACAACCGAUUAAUCCAACUUUUGCCCAACGAUCUCACGUAUCGAAUCUAAUAGAUAUCUUCUUAAAUUCAACGUAUAUUUCUACAUCUAUCUAUCGAUUCCAAUAUUAAUAAUAAUAAUAUACGUUAAUUUUAUUUAAAAAAAUCUCCAAACCAACGAUCUCAAACACGUACGAAUCUAAUGGAUAUCUUCUUAAUUCAACGUGUAUUUCUAUAUCUAUCUAUUAGUUAGAUUAAUCUAACUUUUGCCCAACGAUCUCAAACACGCGUAUCGAAUCUAAUGGAUAUCUUCUUAAAUUCAACGUGUAUUUCUACAGAUCUAUCGAUUCCAAUAAUAAUAAUAAUAUAAAUUAAUUAUAUUUAAAAAAUCUCCAAACCAACGAUCUCAAACACGUGUAUCGAAUCUAAUGGAUAUCUUCUUAAAUCCAACGUAUAUUUCUACAUCUAUCUAUCGAUUCCAAUAUUAAUAAUAAUAAUAAUAUACGUUAAUCAUAUUUAAAAAAAUCUCCAAACCAACGAUCUCAAACACGUGUAUCGAAUCUAAUGGAUAUCUUCUUAAAUCCAACGUAUAUUUCUACAUCUAUCUAUCGAUUCCAAUAUUAAUAAUAAUAAUAAUAUACGUUAAUCAUAUUUAAAAAAAUCUCCAAACCAACGAUCUCAAACACGUGUAUCGAAUCUAAUGGAUAUCUUCUUAAAUUCAACGUGUAUUUCUACAUCUAUCUAUCGAUUCCAAUAUUAAUAAUAAUAAUAAUAUACGUUAAUCAUAUUUAAAAAAUCUCCGUAAUCUAUAUUAAUUUUACCUCUUCUAAAAUUUCAAUCGUGAAACCAACCAACCCGCUUGGACAAUCGAUUAAUCCAACUUUUGCCCAACGAUCUCAAACACGCGUAUCGAAUCUAAUGGAUAUCUUUUUAAAUCCAACGUAUAUUUCUACAGAUCUAUCGAUUCCAAUAAUAAUAAUAAUAAUAUAAAUUAAUUAUAUUUAAAAAAUCUCCAAACCAACGAUCUCAAACACGCGUAUCGAAUCUAAUGGAUAUCUUCUUAAUUCAACGUGUAUUUCUACAUCUAUCUAUUAGUUAGAUUAAUCCAACUCUUGUCCAUGGUCUCAUGUAUCGAAUCUAAUAGAUAUCUUCUUAAAUCCAACGUAUAUUUCUACAGAUCUAUUCCAAUAAUAAUAAUAAUAAUAAUAAUAAUAUAAAUUAAUUAUAUUUAAAAAAAUCUCCAAACCAACGAUCUCAAACACGCGUAUCGAAUCUAAUGGAUAUCUUCUUAAUUCAACAUAUAUUCUACAUAUAUUUCUACAUCUAUCUAUUAGUUAGAUUAAUCCAACUCUUGUCCACGGUCUCAUGUAUCGAAUCUAAUGGAUAUCUUCUUAAAUCCAACAUAUAUUUCUACAGAUCUAUCGAUUCCAAUAAUAAUAAUAAUAAUAAUAAUAAUAAUAUACGUUAAUUAUAUUUAAAAAAAAAAGAACGAUAUGAUAACAUUAAUCCUGGUCGAAAAUCCUGGGAAAUAAUCUGCCAUGGAUCGCGGUACAAUUCACCCUUAUACUACAACGCCUACUAUUUACACGACAUCUCAUCGCGGGCUUAUCUCAUCGCGGAUCGUAUCGAAGAUCCAUUAGAAGCUCGUAAAUACAUGUGCGCAUAUGCGCGCACGUCGGAAAGCACGGUGAUUAACCCAGAAAACCCGAUGAUCGUACAUCGACCUGCGAGUGUACUCGCGGCGAGAGAGCAAGAUACAGAGAGGAAGAAGGGGGAGCAGCCUGUUUCUAAGAAUCUCAACGUGCUAGCAACCAUCCCUUGGAUGCUUGCCAAGCAUCGGCCUAUCGCAAAUAUAGGCGGUUAAUGCUCGCCUCACACCGAAUCUCCUCUCCCUCUCCCUGUUUCUCAAGGAAAUUCAUUGCUCCAAGACAUCCACCAAGGCGUCCCCUUUGAUCCGCGGCGGAUGGUGCGUCGUUCUUUGAUGUUGUUUUCGAUAUAACAAUAAAAAGAGGGGGGGGAAAAAAAAGAGCGUCGAUGAUAAUGUCAAAGAACCGAGGUUCGUGAUAAGGCAUCGUCGUUAUCAAUCGUUUUUUAAUACCUUCUCUUUUAAGGUAAAGAUCUACUAUCGUCCAAUGGUAUUGUUUGUCGAGAGAUAAAAGAAUAAACAACGAUUAGGCUCGUUUGAUCAAUUAAAUCCUUGAAUAAGCUUAGAAAUAUUGGUACAACGAUUUCUUUGAUCGGGUCGUUUCGGCGUCUUUACGGCCUUAUCAGAUACGUUUGCAGGGUGUAUUUAACUGUUAAUUGUUCGAAAUAUUUUUCCUCAAGAUAUUCGAUUCCCAAGAGAAAGCGUGCUCGUGUUGGCAAGGUGGCCCGGCUAGCUCAGUCGGUAGAGCAUGAGACUCUUAAUCUCAGGGUCGUGGGUUCGAGCCCCACGUUGGGCGACGCCAAAUUUCUUUUUUUUCUCUUUAAAAAUAUCGAAAAAUCACGCAACAUCGAGAUACGCAAGACUGAAGCUUUCAAUUCCAUCGAUAGAUCCCAGAUAACUUUGAUCUUCUCGCUCAAGAUUAAUUUUCCGAAUAUAUUUUAAUAUUUUCUAUAAAAAUUCGACGUCGAAAUCAUCGACUUAUAUAUUUCAUAAAUUUGUAUACGUAUUUGACUCCUGUUUUACUUUAUUCAUAUCUCGAUAAAAAUGGGUUCUGUCCACGAAUCGAACCGUCUCGGUAAUUUUCCCGAGAUCUGAAACAGGAAGCCGAUGUAAUGUGAAUAACAAAAAUCAUCGUAAUCUUAUCAGAAUCGAGAGGCACGCGAAGGUAACGAUUCUCACAUGUUUGGUUCGAAGAGAGAGAGAGAGAGAAAAAAGGCACACCUGACACAUCAGCAGCGUGACAAAUCCGAUUUCGUCCGAUCGAAAUAACCAGACGCGAUGGCGUGAUGUAACACGUUCGUGCGUUACAUACGAGAUCAGAACGUUUCUUCGAACGCGUCAGAUUCGUGGGAUCCUUUAAUGGAUCUCCCUUGAUCCUCCGUGCUUGCCUAAUAUUAUCUAAGAAAUUGGAUAAUAAAUCCUAUUUACCAAUUAAGGAAGUUUUGUCGUUUCUCUUCUACGAGAGAGAGAAAAAUAUACAAUAACACAUCCAUUUGUUAAAACACACUUGUGUAAUUCUGACGGACGAAUAAUUUUCUUUCUCCAUUCUGCUUAAUAGUAAGCUAUCAAUUCCGAGGAAUUCCAACUAAGAAAGUCUUCCGUCAGUUUAUGAAAAAUAAUUUGUUCGUAAAAUUUGUGCAAAUUCACUGUAUUAUAAAAAGUGAAUUGAUCUCCCCACUCUUUGAUUAUUUUCAAAGAAUAUCGUAAUAAUAAUUAACCGAGGAAAUUCUUUUUCACGAAAAUUGAAAAUUUACCGCGUAAAAUAAAUCAACGUUAAUAAAACUCGUAAUAAUCCACAAAACGGCUGCGAACGAUCGAGAAUUAAGAUUAUAUCCGUGAUGAAUUAUACUUGGAACGUUGCACGAAUGUCACAAUGGAUAAAAAAUUUUCCUUCCACUCUCAUUCUCCCGGACAAUUUCUUCGGACAAUUAUUAUAUACACGAAAUUACGAUCUCUUCUAUUUAUCAUCUACGAUACGUCAUUGCAUAUCAUUACAAUAUCACGAUUUCUCUCGAAAGAGAUCUCUCACGCCUAUACGCAACUAUCAGAAACAUCCGAUUUACAUCAUCCCCCUUCGUUCUUUUAUAUCCAAUCAAAAAAAAAAGAAAAAGAAAAAUCUUCCAUUCGAAACGCUCUCUCGCGAGCACGAACGCGAAUUAAAAUUUAAAAUCAAUCUUCCUUCCGCGUUUCCUCCCUUCCAUCUACCAAAAAAAAGAAAGAAAGAACAACGAAUCUAUCUUGAUUAUUCGGUGUAAAGAUUCUCCUUCUCCCCAAAAGAAGGGAGAGGCAGAAAGAAAAGAAAGAAGCGAAGAGUUCAGGACAGGUGCGCAGAGCCUGAGGUGAGGAAUCUUUGGAGGGAAGAGGAGGAGGAGGAGGUGGAAAGAAGAAAGAUGGAAAGAGGGGAAUGUUGAAUAGGAGGUGAGAUCGAAACGGUGCGGAAUAGAAGGCCGGGGUGCCAGGUGUUUCGGAAAGUUAUUUUUGAUUGCAGUUCCGAUGCAGAGGGGGAUAGGGCUGGUCCACGGAGUCGUGUAUUUUUAGGUGGUGCACGGCAUGCGGCACACCACCGCAACGUUUUCGACACGACCCGAAAUAAAGUGUUUAUCGAACUCGACUCGCUAGAGAGAGAGAGAGAGAGAGUGUGUGUGUGUGUGUGUGUGUGUGUGAGGAUCGUAAUCAACAGCCUCUCGCGUCCCUGGCCGGCGAAAGUAGAUCGGUUUACGGUAUCGUGUAGGGAGACAAUGCGUAAUUAAUAGCCCGUGACUCUUUCCGCUUCCUAUCCACGCUCCUCCGAUGUGCAACAACACGUACUUGGAUCUGAUUGAAAUCGAUAUUCCACCAUCAAGUAUUUAAUGUAUUAUAAAAUUAGAUGAAUUGCGUGCAUCUGGAUUGGAUAGUAAUGUGAUGCAUCUAAGGGAGAAAGGUUGAGUUAAUUGCUGACUCUCGCUACUGUGCUCGUUGCAUAACUUACGUUUCUUUGUACUCUCGUUUAUUUCCUUAUAUCUCGAAAAUUUGUUGUAUAUGUUUCGAAUACUUUGUAUCCCAAAUGCAUCACAAGUAUCUGUAAUUUUCUUAAAAUUGGAAAUAGAAAAGGUGGACGAAAGAAGAAAUUCUAGAGCGUGGUGUGAUUCUUAUAAAUAUGAAAUCGUAUGAUUAAUUAGCCUAGAGAAGAAUGCGUAGAACGGAAAAUAAAAUUCUACGAUAUUUUUUUCUUUUUUUUAUUAAGAUAUACCGGUUUUUAAAGAGAUUUUUUUCACGAAUAUUUAGACAAGAAAUAGGGUGUUCGAGAUAUUCCACGAUCAGAUUUUGUACAAGUUUCGAAAAAACGGAGCGAUCACUUACCCCACACGUGCUAAUUCGCCAACAUUUUUGUUCAUCCAAGCGUUUAAAUUCUAAACGUGUAUAUUUAUAUUUUUGUAUAUAUUUAUACCUGUAUAUUCCUCAUCAAUAAAACAUCUAAACUCCACGUAAUGGCCACCUCCAACGCUAUCACGUGUAAUCAAGCAUCGAUUCCGAGGGUACAACUAACUGGUGUAAAAUUAUCCUUAAAAAUGGCAUAAUUAGAUAUCGCGGUUAAUAAUCGUAUUAGACGACCUUACGUAUAAAUCGAAAGAGUCUGGAAAAAUACAUUUUUGUACAAUUUUUACAAACUUACGAAAGAAAACGUGUUCGUUCAACUCGAUAAUGAACUAAGAAUAUGUGGAAUUAUGUAUCUGGGUCAUAGUGCUCGCGCCAGUAUAUAAAUAAUUAAUUCUAUAUAACAUUUGCAAAAUUAUUUUACCUCGUGUGCAUUUCGUAAUUUUUUUGUUACGAUAUAAAAAUAGCUUUUCUUUUUUCAACGUUUUUCCUAGAGAAAUUAAUGCGUAGUAGUACGAGAGAUCAUUCUAUCAUCUCUGCUAAUUGAAAUAUAUAUAUAUACAUACAUCUCAAUUUGUUUAAAUUAUAUUUUACAAUCCAUUCUUUUCUCUCUCUCUCUCUCUCUCUGUUUAAGUAUUUCUCGAAAAACUUGUCUUGCGCAAAUAAAAAACGAUAAGAAAAAUUGAAAAGGAAAAGAUAAAGUAACGACAGAUAUGAAUAAUAACGUAAGAUAUUCAUUCGCGUAAAGAUAUACCUAACUAAUCGCCGAAACGGCAAACACCAAUUCGGAUUCCUCGAUUGACGGAGCGAGACGAGAAUUAUAACCACUGUUUACAGAGAGGCAUAAUAAACGCACAGAUAAAAAGUGGGCUCUUGGGAAGAGAGAAGAAAAAUUUCACGCACGUGUCACGAACGGUCGGAAGGGAGAUAGACGUAUAACGAAAAACGAUCCUCGCUAAACGACUUUAUCUACGAUUUAUCGCGGAUCGAGAAGAAUUCACGGGUGGUGGGAGUCGAUGAAAGUAGUUGCCACGGGGUCGACACGUGAUAAUGCCAACCCAUGGGCUUCGAGGAACGCACGUGUUCAAAGAGGAAUGGCGAAAAUGCCGCUCCAAAGUGGCCACGACGACACGGAUGCCGUUUUGUAAACGCGUCCGGGUACACAGCUAUUUUCCGACUGUCCUAAUUCCAACGUGAGACUGUUUGCCGGCAGAUUUUCAUGGGUUCGAAACGGAAAACAAUUACUUCGGCCGGAUUACGCUUCUCUCGGGGGAGAGGAGAAAACAUUAUUGUUAUCAGAUUGGUUGCUUCGAUAACGUGGAAAUGCCAUUCUUUCUGACGCUAUAUUUUGUAAGAUCGAUAUUAAAUAAUAUUAAUAAAAAAUAU
Molecule: long non-coding RNA, 6766 nt
Organism: Apis mellifera (honey bee)
Lineage: Eukaryota; Metazoa; Arthropoda; Insecta; Hymenoptera; Apidae
Exons: 2
Source: RefSeq, a predicted model, not a curated record